AUUGGGUUGAAUUGAGAAAACUCUUGUUUCGCUCAAUCCUGUGUGUUAUUAUAAAAAGUAAUGCUGAGUCUCAGGUGAGAAUGUGAAAAUUUUUCUUUUUUUAUCUUUUUAAGUCCUGGAGUUCCAAUGAGCGGCUUAUGAAGGGAAAUCUGUACAAAAAUUGAAGUCGGCGUCGAGUCUUUGAUGUAGUCAUUUACAAUGUAAAUAUUACCCUUUGUUUUUUA
RNAcentral lists this unclassified non-coding RNA (224 nucleotides) under Hevea brasiliensis (rubber tree). Lineage: Eukaryota; Viridiplantae; Streptophyta; Magnoliopsida; Malpighiales; Euphorbiaceae. The record is from RNAcentral.